CCGUUUCCCUCCUUUUCCUGCUAGGAUUGGAAAUCCUGUAUUUUACAUAUCCAUACGAUUGAGUCCUUGGGUUUCCGAAAUAGUGUAAAAAUAAGUGCUUCGAAUCAUUGCUAUUUGACCCGGACCUGUUCUAAAAAAGUCGAGGCAUUUCGAAUUGUUUGUUGACACGGACAAAGUCAGGGAAAACCUCUGAAAUUAUUUCAAUAUUGAACCUUGGACAUAUAAGAGUUCCGAAUCGAAUCUCUUUUGAAAGAAGAUCUUUUGUCUCAUGGUAGCCUGCUUCAGUCCCCUUACGAAACUUUCG
This 304-nucleotide small RNA is filed under the name Brassica nigra var. nigra. Lineage: Eukaryota; Viridiplantae; Streptophyta; Magnoliopsida; Brassicales; Brassicaceae. The record is from RNAcentral.